This is a non-coding RNA of Aegilops tauschii subsp. strangulata, 1315 nucleotides long. The record is from RefSeq and is a predicted model, not a curated record. Lineage: Eukaryota; Viridiplantae; Streptophyta; Magnoliopsida; Poales; Poaceae.
GAAGCAUUAUUGCACCCGAAAACCCAGCUGCUCAGAGCGAGCAAUGGACCACGCAACAGGUGGCAUGGGCAGCCUGCUCCUCAAGCUCGGUGAACUCCUCAAGGAGGAAAACGAACUGCAGAAGGGCAUCAAGGAAGACGUCCAGUAUCUUCAAAGAGAGCUGAGGAGCAUGCACGCUGCCCUCCGCAAGGUCGGGGACGUGCCACGGGACCAGCUCGACGAGCAAGUCAAGCUCUGGGCAAACGAGGUCAGUGAUCUUUCAUAUAGAAUGGAGGAUACCAUCGACAAGUUCCUGAUACGUGUUGAGGGCCCUGAGCUUGACGACAAGCCGCACAAGCUCAAACAGCUCGUGAAGAUGUGUGACUUGUUCACCAAGGGCAAGGCGCGACAUGCCAUCGGAAAAGAGAUCAAAGGCAUCAAGGCCAGCGUCCAGGAGGUGGCUGCCCGGCGUGACCGGUACAAGGUCAAAGAUGUGGUUCCUAAUCCAACUGGCCCAAUCAUGGUUGACCCUCGCCUAUCGGCUCUGUACAAGGACCGGAAAGAGCUCGUCGGCAUUGAUGAUUCAUUGAAUGAGCUAACCGAGAAGCUGAGUGACGGGGAUGGUGAUCUGUCCAAGCAACUCAAGAUACUCUCUGUUUUUGGAUUCGGAGGCCUUGGCAAAGACAACUCUUGCCAAAGCAUUGUAUGAUAAUCGCCAAGCGCAGUUCGAUUGCAGCGCUUUCGUUCCGGUAGGAUAGAACCCUAGCGUGAAGAAAAUUCUCAAUGACAUACUGAAUGAAAUUGGUGGGAAAAAGUGCUUGGAGUUGGAUGAAAGGCAGCUAAUCAACAAACUCUGAGGGUUACUUGAGAACAGAAGGUACUUCAUCGUUAUUGAUGACAUAUGGGAUACGGAAACAUGGGAAAUAAUCAUGAACGCUUUCGUGCGUAAUAACUGUGGAAGCAGGAUAAUUACAACUACUCGUAUACUCGAAGUUGCCACAACGACCGGUGAAGUAUACGAGUCAAAACCACUUUCUCAUGAUUUAUCCAAUGAUUUAUUUCAUAGAAGAGUAUCUAUUGGCGAAAUAAAACAGCCUAAUCAUCUGCCGGUAGAGGUAUACAAUAAAACAUAAAUGUGGAGGUGUUCCAUUGGCUAUAAUCACAAUAGCUAGUUUGCUUGUCGGUAAACCGGUGGAGCUUUGGUUUAAGGUAUACACUUCAAUUGGUUUUGGGCAUGAAGAAAACAAGGACGUGGAGAACACGAGAAAAAUACUUCUAUUUAGCUAUUAUGAUCUACCUUGUUACCUAAAGACUUGCUUAUUGUAUCCGAGCAUAU